Long non-coding RNA from Lingula anatina, 296 nucleotides. The record is from RefSeq and is a predicted model, not a curated record. NCBI's taxonomy places the organism in Eukaryota, Metazoa, Brachiopoda, Lingulata, Lingulida, Lingulidae.
GCAGAAGAGGUGAUUGAAGCGGUCUCCAAAUUGACAAAUGAUUCGGCUUCACCUGAAGGCAAACCUGUUAAAGACCUAUUGGCUGAAGCUAAAAAUGUCCAUAAUAAAUUAAGAAAAAGUAUGAAAUCGAUAGGGAAGUUCUUAAAACAGCGGCCCAUGGUAGGAAUGCUAAAGGUGAUCAAAACGCUCUCUGAAACUGUUGGUAACGCGAGCUCUACAAACGCCGUAUUGGACCUUUUGAUUGGAUGGUCAGGUAUUGUACUUCCUAUAAUAGACCUAAUGAUUUAAGUAGUAUU